Molecule: ribosomal RNA, 872 nt
Filed under: uncultured bacterium
Lineage: Bacteria
Description: SSU rRNA
Rfam family: Bacterial small subunit ribosomal RNA
Source: RNAcentral
UACAGAGGUCUCAAGCGUUGUUCGGAUUCAUUGGGCGUAAAGGGUGCGUAGGCGGCGUGGAAAGUUGAGUGUGAAAUCCUAGGGCUUAACCUUAGAACUGCACUCAAUACUCCCAUGCUAGAGGAAUGUAGAGGAGAGUGGAAUUCACGGUGUAGCAGUGAAAUGCGUAGAUAUCGUGAGGAAGACCAGUUGCGAAGGCGACUCUCUGGGCAUUUCCUGACGCUGAGGCACGAAGGCCAGGGGAGCAAACGGGAUUAGAUACCCCGGUAGUCCUGGCAGUAAACGGUGCACGUUUGGUGUGGGCGGGUUCAGACCCCGUCCGUGCCGGAGCUAACGCGUUAAACGUGCCGCCUGGGAAGUACGGUCGCAAGAUUAAAACUCAAAGAAAUUGACGGGGGCCCGCACAAGCGGUGGAGUAUGUGGCUUAAUUCGAUGCAACGCGAAGAACCUUACCUGGUCUUGACAUGCAUCUCUAAGUUAGUGAAAGCUAACGAGUUUGUAGCAAUACAAACAAUUUGCACAGGUGCUGCAUGGCUGUCGUCAGCUCGUGUCGUGAGAUGUUGGGUUAAGUCCCGCAACGAGCGCAACCCUCAUGUCUUGUUGCCACUUCCACAUGUGUGAAAAGCACUCUAGACAGACUGCCUCGUCUCAACGAGGAGGAAGGUGGGGAUGACGUCAAGUCAGUAUGGCCCUUACGGCCAGGGCUGCACACGUACUACAAUGCCUAGUACAAUGGGAAGCAAUACCGCGAGGUGGAGCAAAUCCUCAAAACUGGGCCCAGUUCAGAUUGUAGUCUGCAACUCGACUACAUGAAGUCGGAAUCGCUAGUAAUGGCGCAUCAGCUACGGCGCCGUGAAUACGUUCCCAGGCCU